GCUACGUGGGGCUGUGUGAGGACACAGUGUGUGAUGUAAGAUGCUUGUACAUAUUUUUGUUGACACAUUUCAACGUUGACAUGCAAUAAUUAGUUAACUGCUAAUUAAUUAUUUUGUGCGCGUCUUUUAAAAGGCCGCGGUGUUAGCUAGAGUUUUAUGCGUUUUUUAAAUAAGCGUUUUAAAAAAAAAAUGAAGCGUCAUCAGUUUCCGGGGAAAGUCCGCCAGCAUUUCGCUUUCAAUUCAGAUGCGACGGCACGAUUUAAAUGUAAACCAGUGUAAUUGUUUUACAUUUUAUUACAAAACGUAAAAAUCAUUAAUAUCGACUGGACUGUUUGUAUAUAAGAAGCUGGAUUCGGGAAGCUGCAAGAACAAAACUGACCGCAAAUGGGAGUUACUGGUAAGUCUUGCGUAGGAAUUGUGCCUGAAGGGCCGAGCAAAGUAAAAGUGAAACCGAACACACAAGCUAACUGCUUCAUUCUUUGCUCAAAUCCACUCGAGCUUUAAUUCAUAUAUGGAUGGAUUUUUUUUUUCAUCUUUUAUGCGGAAUAUAUUGAUGGAGGCACAUGUUGAGGAUGAUCUUCAGUGGAUCAAAAGUAGCCCUGGCAUGGUUCACCUCUACAUCGAAGAUCAGACAAAGGAAGGACAGAGUCUGAUGGUUGUCUAUCGACAAAGGAACUAUGCCUUCAGCAAAGAAGGAAACAGACAAAGACAUGUCUAGAAAAAUAUAUGUUCAUUUCAACAUACAGAAAAAUGAAGUCUGCAGUCUGUGCUUAUAGUUUCACAUCUUUUUUUGCGUGUAUGUGUGUGUGUGGUUUAUUUCCCAGAUGGUAUUCCAGUCUCGGGUUUGAAACCACAGAAGCUCUCACACCCUCUUUGUAUCUUCAUGGUGUAGCUUUUGACUGUUUAAAACACAAUGUGUUUAAACUUCUGCUGCUGAUGCCGUAUUGUCGCGGGACUUCGUACUCGCAAAAACUCAUGAACUACAACAUCGUAAACCGAACAAAAGGUGUUAUGCAUGAGCAGCUGUCAUUGGGGGGUGUCAUCAACCUGACCUCUUUUGGAUUAGUUAAUGAUUAUUUGUUUAUUAUGUAGUCGAGUUGUUGCGUGACACCUCGCGUGUAGCCAUUUUUUUUUAAAAUGACAGAAAAAGCUGUAUGCAAAAGACCUCGCUAACGUGUAACUCAAAGCUGCUUUGUUUCAGUGAAGCCAAUCAUGUUCUUCUACUAUGUUUUGGACAGCAUCACUACAUAAAGUUAUUUUGUGCUUUUUUUAUUAUAUUAUACUAUAUUAUAAUUUCCUAUACUUUAUCUAGUCAUUAAUGUCGGUAACUGCACUAACAGCUGCAGGUCAUUUUCACAGGUGUUUGAUUUCAAAGGACUAAGGAAACAUUGUUGUAUUUCCGAACUCCCAUUGAACUACACUUUUAUACGUUUAUCAGCACGCUGGAGGCCAUAGCAGCUG
This is a long non-coding RNA of Haplochromis burtoni (Burton's mouthbrooder), 1461 nucleotides long. RefSeq lists it as uncharacterized. The transcript is spliced from 2 exons. NCBI's taxonomy places the organism in Eukaryota, Metazoa, Chordata, Actinopteri, Cichliformes, Cichlidae. The record is from RefSeq and is a predicted model, not a curated record.